RNAcentral lists this ribosomal RNA (407 nucleotides) under uncultured bacterium. RNAcentral's name for it is "partial 16S ribosomal RNA". It matches the Rfam family "Bacterial small subunit ribosomal RNA", at positions 28 to 526 of the family's 1533-position model. The record is from RNAcentral.
GAUGAACGCUAGCUACAGGCUUAACACAUGCAAGUCGCAGGACUGGCGCACGGGUGAGUAACGCGUAUCCAACCUUCUCAUCACUACGGGAUAACCCGUUGAAAGACGGCCCAAUACCGUAUGGUUGUGGAUGGGGAUGCGUCUGCUUGGCUUGGUGGCGGGGUAACGGCCCACCAAGGCGACGAUCAGUAGUGGUGCGGAGAGGAAGCGCCCCCACAUUGGAACUGAGACACGGUCCAAAACCGUACGGGAGGCAGGAGUGAGGAAUAUUGGUCAAUGGGCGAUAGCCUGACCCAGCCAAGUAGCGUGCAGGAGGACUGCCUAUGGGUUGUAAACUGCUUGUAUGUGGGGAUAGGUACCACAUGAAUAAGGACCGGCUAAUUCCGUGCCAGCCGCCGCGGUAAUAC